This 459-nucleotide ribosomal RNA is filed under the name uncultured bacterium. Its description in RNAcentral is "bacterial SSU rRNA". It matches the Rfam family "Bacterial small subunit ribosomal RNA", at positions 343 to 794 of the family's 1533-position model. The record is from RNAcentral.
UGGAGGCAGCAGUGGGGAAUUUUGGACAAUGGACGAAAGUCUGAUCCAGCAAUGCCGCGUGCAGGACGAAGGCCUUCGGGUUGUAAACUGCUUUUGUACGGAGCGAAAAGGUCUUUUUUAAUACAAGAGGCUCAUGACGGUACCGUAAGAAUAAGCACCGGCUAACUACGUGCCAGCAGCCGCGGUAAUACGUAGGGUGCAAGCGUUAAUCGGAAUUACUGGGCGUAAAGCGUCCGCAGGCGGUUGUGUAAGACAGAUGUGAAAUCCCCGGGCUCAACCUGGGAACUGCAUUUGUGACUGCACGGCUAGAGUACGGCAGAGGGGGAUGGAAUUCCGCGUGUAGCAGUGAAAUGCGUAGAUAUGCGGAGGAACACCGAUGGCGAAGGCAAUCCCCUGGGCCUGUACUGACGCUCAUGGACGAAAGCGUGGGGAGCAAACAGGAUUAGAUACCCCGGUAGC